UCGAACGAUGAAGCCCUUCGGGGUGGAUUAGUGGCGAACGGGUGAGUAACACGUGGGCAAUCUGCCCUUCACUCUGGGACAAGCCCUGGAAACGGGGUCUAAUACCGGAUACCACUCCUGCCUGCAUGGGCGGGGGUUGAAAGCUCCGGCGGUGAAGGAUGAGCCCGCGGCCUAUCAGCUUGUUGGUGGGGUAAUGGCCUACCAAGGCGACGACGGGUAGCCGGCCUGAGAGGGCGACCGGCCACACUGGGACUGAGACACGGCCCAGACUCCUACGGGAGGCAGCAGUGGGGAAUAUUGCACAAUGGGCGAAAGCCUGAUGCAGCGACGCCGCGUGAGGGAUGACGGCCUUCGGGUUGUAAACCUCUUUCAGCAGGGAAGAAGCGAAAGUGACGGUACCUGCAGAAGAAGCGCCGGCUAACUACGUGCCAGCAGCCGCGGUAAUACGUAGGGCGCAAGCGUUGUCCGGAAUUAUUGGGCGUAAAGAGCUCGUAGGCGGCUUGUCACGUCGGAUGUGAAAGCCCGAGGCUUAACCUCGGGUCUGCAUUCGAUACGGGCUAGCUAGAGUGUGGUAGGGGAGAUCGGAAUUCCUGGUGUAGCGGUGAAAUGCGCAGAUAUCAGGAAGAACACCGGUGGCGAAGGCGGAUCUCUGGGCCAUUACUGACGCUGAAGAGCGAAAGCGUGGGGAGCGAACAGGAU
This 699-nucleotide ribosomal RNA is filed under the name Streptomyces sp. DE-503. RNAcentral's name for it is "bacterial SSU rRNA". It matches the Rfam family "Bacterial small subunit ribosomal RNA", at positions 62 to 778 of the family's 1533-position model. The record is from RNAcentral. Lineage: Bacteria; Bacillati; Actinomycetota; Actinomycetes; Kitasatosporales; Streptomycetaceae.